AACGAACGCUGGCGGCAGGCCUAACACAUGCAAGUCGAGCGCCCUUUCGGGGGAGCGGCGGACGGGUGAGUAACGCGUGGGAAUAUGCCCUUCUCUACGGUAUAGCCUCGGGAAACUGAGAGUAAUACCGUAUACGCCCUGUGGGGGAAAGAUUUAUCGGGGAAGGAUUAGCCCGCGUUGGAUUAGGUAGUUGGUGGGGUAAUGGCCUACCAAGCCGACGAUCCAUAGCUGGUUUGAGAGGAUGAUCAGCCACACUGGGACUGAGACACGGCCCAGACUCCUACGGGAGGCAGCAGUGGGGAAUCUUAGACAAUGGGGGCAACCCUGAUCUAGCCAUGCCGCGUGAGUGAUGAAGGCCUUAGGGUUGUAAAGCUCUUUCAGCUGGGAAGAUAAUGACGGUACCAGCAGAAGAAGCCCCGGCUAACUCCGUG
This 431-nucleotide ribosomal RNA is filed under the name uncultured bacterium. RNAcentral describes it as "partial 16S ribosomal RNA". It matches the Rfam family "Bacterial small subunit ribosomal RNA", at positions 29 to 507 of the family's 1533-position model. The record is from RNAcentral.